GGUUAAGCGACUAAGCGUACACGGUGGAUGCCCUGGCAGUCAGAGGCGAUGAAGGACGUGCUAAUCUGCGAUAAGCGUCGGUGAGGUGAUAUGAACCGUUAUAACCGGCGAUUUCCGAAUGGGGAAACCCAGUGUGUUUCGACACACUAUCAUUAACUGAAUCCAUAGGUUAAUGAGGCGAACCGGGGGAACUGAAACAUCUAAGUACCCCGAGGAAAAGAAAUCAACCGAGAUUCCCCCAGUAGCGGCGAGCGAACGGGGAGGAGCCCAGAGCCUGAAUCAGUGUGUGUGUUAGUGGAAGCGUCUGGAAAGGCGUGCGAUACAGGGUGACAGCCCCGUACACAAAAAUGCACAUAUUGUGAGCUCGAUGAGUAGGGCGGGACACGUGGUAUCCUGUCUGAAUAUGGGGGGACCAUCCUCCAAGGCUAAAUACUCCUGACUGACCGAUAGUGAACCAGUACCGUGAGGGAAAGGCGAAAAGAACCCCGGCGAGGGGAGUGAAAAAGAACCUGAAACCGUGUACGUACAAGCAGUGGGAGCCUCUUAAUGGGGUGACUGCGUACCUUUUGUAUAAUGGGUCAGCGACUUAUAUUCUGUAGCAAGGUUAACCGAAUAGGGGAGCCGAAGGGAAACCGAGUCUUAACUGGGCGUUAAGUUGCAGGGUAUAGACCCGAAACCCGGUGAUCUAGCCAUGGGCAGGUUGAAGGUUGGGUAACACUAACUGGAGGACCGAACCGACUAAUGUUGAAAAAUUAGCGGAUGACUUGUGGCUGGGGGUGAAAGGCCAAUCAAACCGGGAGAUAGCUGGUUCUCCCCGAAAGCUAUUUAGGUAGCGCCUCGUGAAUUCAUCUCCGGGGGUAGAGCACUGUUUCGGCAAGGGGGUCAUCCCGACUUACCAACCCGAUGCAAACUGCGAAUACCGGAGAAUGUUAUCACGGGAGACACACGGCGGGUGCUAACGUCCGUCGUGAAGAGGGAAACAACCCAGACCGCCAGCUAAGGUCCCAAAGUCAUGGUUAAGUGGGAAACGAUGUGGGAAGGCCCAGACAGCCAGGAUGUUGGCUUAGAAGCAGCCAUCAUUUAAAGAAAGCGUAAUAGCUCACUGGUCGAGUCGGCCUGCGCGGAAGAUGUAACGGGGCUAAACCAUGCACCGAAGCUGCGGCAGCGACACUAUGUGUUGUUGGG
RNAcentral lists this ribosomal RNA (1185 nucleotides) under Escherichia coli. RNAcentral's name for it is "partial 23S ribosomal RNA". It matches the Rfam family "Bacterial large subunit ribosomal RNA", at positions 1 to 1228 of the family's 2925-position model. Lineage: Bacteria; Pseudomonadati; Pseudomonadota; Gammaproteobacteria; Enterobacterales; Enterobacteriaceae. The record is from RNAcentral.